RNAcentral lists this ribosomal RNA (476 nucleotides) under uncultured bacterium. RNAcentral describes it as "partial 16S ribosomal RNA". It matches the Rfam family "Bacterial small subunit ribosomal RNA", at positions 28 to 507 of the family's 1533-position model. The record is from RNAcentral.
GAUUAACGCUGGCGGCGUGCAUAACACAUGCAAGUCGAACGAUGAAACUUAAAUGAUUUCUUCGGAAUGAACUUAAGUGGAUUAGUGGCGGACGGGUGAGUAACGCGUGAGUAACCUGCCUUACACAAGGGGAUAGCCGUUGGAAACGACGAAUAAUACCCUAUGAAACUAUCACUUCGCAUGAAGCGAUAGUCAAAGUGUUAGCGGUGUAAGAUGGACUUGCGUCUGAUUAGCUAGUUGGUGAGAAAAAAGCCCACCAAGGCAACGAUCAGUAGCCGGCUUGAGAGAGUGUACGGCCACAUUGGGACUGAGACACGGCCCAGACUCCUACGGGAGGCAGCAGUGGGGAAUUUUGCACAAUGGGGGAAACCCUGAUGCAGCGACGCCGCGUGAUUUAGAAGCCUUCGGGUUGUAAAAAUCUUUUGUAUAGGAAGAAAAUGACAGUACUAUACGAAUAAGGUCCGGCUAAUUACGUG